UCCCUGGCUUGUACCACUUCUCAUCAACUUCUCUACAGCCCUGGUUUACACCCUGGCCAAACAGAAGAUUGUCUGAUCUUCCACUGUGACAAUUCUCAGAACCAGGUAACCUCUGGUGAGGGUUUUCAUUACACGUGAACUUCAAGGUGCAGUUGAUAAAAUAAACCCAUUUCGUUGCCAAGCCCUACAGUCUCAAGACCCAGACCCAUACAUGCUUUCCGGUCUCUUGCCGCUACACAGCCAGACUGCCAUUACUUUUCCAGUACAGCUUCCUGGAGUAUAGCUUUGGUUUCCCCUUUGAGGCUGUGCUGAAGCCUGACUUUGGUGAUGGCCUGUAGGCAAUGUGGGGUGAUGAGAGUGCGUCUUGAGGGAAGUGAAUGUCUUCUUGUAAGACACCUGCGUCUUGUGAAAUCAUCGCAUAGCCUCCAGGAAGAUUAGGCCUGAGCUAACUGCUGCCAAUCCUCCUCUUUUUGCUGAGGAAGACUGGC
Molecule: long non-coding RNA, 488 nt
Organism: Equus caballus (horse)
Lineage: Eukaryota; Metazoa; Chordata; Mammalia; Perissodactyla; Equidae
Source: RefSeq, a predicted model, not a curated record